GACGAACGCUGGCGGCGUGCUUAACACAUGCAAGUCGAACGGAAAGGCCCUGCUUUUGUGGGGUGCUCGAGUGGCGAACGGGUGAGUAACACGUGAGUAACCUGCCCUUGACUUUGGGAUAACUUCAGGAAACUGGGGCUAAUACCGGAUAGGAGCUCCUGCUGCAUGGUGGGGGUUGGAAAGUUUCGGCGGUUGGGGAUGGACUCGCGGCUUAUCAGCUUGUUGGUGGGGUAGUGGCUUACCAAGGCUUUGACGGGUAGCCGGCCUGAGAGGGUGACCGGCCACAUUGGGACUGAGAUACGGCCCAGACUCCUACGGGAGGCAGCAGUGGGGAAUAUUGCACAAUGGACGGAAGCCUGAUGCAGCAACGCCGCGUGCGGGAUGACGGCCUUCGGGUUGUAAACCGCUUUCGCCUGUGACGAAGCGUGAGUGACGGUAAUGGGCAAAGAAGCACCGGCUAACUACGUG
RNAcentral lists this ribosomal RNA (468 nucleotides) under uncultured bacterium. RNAcentral's name for it is "partial 16S ribosomal RNA". It matches the Rfam family "Bacterial small subunit ribosomal RNA", at positions 28 to 507 of the family's 1533-position model. The record is from RNAcentral.